RNAcentral lists this unclassified non-coding RNA (412 nucleotides) under soil metagenome. RNAcentral describes it as "partial contains 5.8S ribosomal RNA, internal transcribed spacer 2, and large subunit ribosomal RNA". The stretch from base 1 to 122 matches the Rfam family "5.8S ribosomal RNA", at positions 35 to 154 of the family's 154-position model. The record is from RNAcentral.
GAUGAAGAACGCAGCGAAAUGCGAUACUUGGUGUGAAUUGCAGAAUCCCGUGAACCAUCGAGUCUUUGAACGCAAGUUGCGCCCGAAGCCGUCAGGCCGAGGGCACGCCUGCCUGGGCGUCACACGCCGUUGCCCCCCCGCGCCCCGCACCCAACUCUUUGGGAGCGACCGCGGGGCGGGCUGAUGAUGGCCUCCCGUGCGCUCCGCCGCGCGGUUGGCCCAAAUACCGAGUCCCCGGCGACGUGCACCACGACGAUCGGUGGUUGAGAGACCUCUGUCGCAAGUCGUGCGCGCCCGUCGCGUCACGCGGGCUCGCAUAGCGCCUCGCGCCGCACCCGGUGCGGAGCUUUCAACGCGACCCCAGGUCAGGCGGGGUUACCCGCUGAAUUUAAGCAUAUCAAUAAGCGGAGGA